Molecule: ribosomal RNA, 253 nt
Filed under: uncultured bacterium
Lineage: Bacteria
Description: partial 16S ribosomal RNA
Rfam family: Bacterial small subunit ribosomal RNA
Source: RNAcentral
UACGAAGGGGGCUAGCGUUGCUCGGAAUUACUGGGCGUAAAGCGCGUGUAGGCGGACCUGCAAGUCGGACGUGAAAGCCCUGGGCUCAACCCAGGAACUGCAUCCGAAACUGCGGGCCUGGAGUGGUGGAGAGGGAAGCAGAAUUCCUGGUGUAGCGGUGGAAUGCGCAGAUAUCAGGAGGAACACCGAUGGCGAAGGCAGGUCUCUGGGCCGCAACUGACGCUGAGGAGCGAAAGCAUGGGGAGCGAACAGG